Ooceraea biroi (clonal raider ant) is the source of this 4213-nucleotide long non-coding RNA. RefSeq lists it as uncharacterized. Lineage: Eukaryota; Metazoa; Arthropoda; Insecta; Hymenoptera; Formicidae. The record is from RefSeq and is a predicted model, not a curated record.
AUCGGGUACUUCCCGAUAUGCUAGAAACACCAAAUUUCGCAUGGUGAUAGGGGUUCACCCCAGGUAAUGGGAAAAUUCUUGAAAUCUUUAAUUUCGGUCCAGGGACUACCUGGCGUAGACAGGCUGUUGUACUAGUAUAAUUAUCAUUGAUUAACACUGAUUGCAUGAGAAUUGCAUCGACAAACUGAUAGAGUGAACAAAUGUAUCAUAUAUUAACAGUAUUGACCAUAAUGAUAAUUUUGAGAAGCUUUAUAACUAAUUAUGUAAUCGAUUCGACUUGGAAAAACGUCGAUAUAAUUUGUUAAACCAUGAAACCAUGUACAAAGGGAGAAAAUAUGCGAAGCGCAGCCUGCGCAGCAAAAUAUAUUAUGCAAACAGCACGCGUGACUGUAAGCAACGAGGAAACGACGCUAUUGCUUUCCGAGUGAAAAAAUUCGCAUUUUUUAACCGUUUCGCUUCUCCCUGGACACAUGCGGCCGCAUGCGAGUGUCGGUUUAAGCGUCAUUUAUUCCUUUCUCAGCGCAUGGGUGUACCAACAGAAAAACCCAUUUACCAAUGCACGUUUCGGCGGAUAUGCAUUGGCAUCCACGGACGCUUCUGCUGAAAUUGGAUUUUAUGGACUUUCGAUCCGUGUUUGUCCGUCGGGCAAGUGACACGUAGAGAUUCGCGCCGAAAUCGCGUCGACGAAAACAGCUCGCACAUAUAUAUGCAGCGUAAAAAGAUAUAUAUGCAGACUCACGUGAAAAACGAACGGCGACGCUAGUCUCAUCUUUAUUCGUAAAAGAAUAAAGAAUCCACAGCUUGUUUACAUGAAUCCGGGCAUGUUUCCAGAAAGCGCGUGCUCCGUUCAUUUAUCGUUUCCGCCUCCGUAAAAAUCUCGUGUUUCUUAAUCAACGUUUAUCGUUUAGACGAGAGUGUAUUAGUGUACCUCCGUGAUAACGUCAUUCUCGAUUAAGUUUUAAUUUGACUGGUCGAUGCUGUCUUGCGAGACACCUGUGAUUAUUCGUUAAUGCGCAAUGCCAAGAAUAACUUUGACAUAGCGAAUCUCGUUUCGUCCGAUUUUGACUUGAUAUUUCAUGCGUCUUGAUAUUUUACGAGAUGAGCAAGUGAACACACACAAAAAAACUCUUGCUACAAAUUUUACAAUAUUCCGGAUAAUAUGUGAGAUAUAAUCAACAGCUCCGAAAGGUUAAACCGUUAUACACAGACCAAUCCGUUGAUGCAUUGAACCUAUUUUACCUCUGUUUCAUCUUCUUGAUAUUUUUUGUGCACACGGCAUGAAGAUUAAAAGCAUUGGUAGCAUAACGUUCAUCAAGAUACCUUUUAAUAAUACGAUGCCCCAGCUUUCUCCAUUUAUUACACUGUUGUACAUUACGACAUCCCACUUAGUAUCUCGUAGUAUAUUUCCUCUUUAUUACUCUCGUAAAGAGUCACCAAGCGUACAUACUGAUUAAAACGUUAAUGAGUACGAUAAGGAUCUUGAUAAAGAUGUGAUUAACGGCGUGUCACACAGGGUAUUUUCAAGACACGGAUAAUUCGUUACCUAAUAAGUCUCGUAAUAUUUUACGUUGAAUCUCCAAUCGGCUUCUUCAGGGAAUCUUACAUGAACGUUUAUAUCGGAUCGUAUUUAAAUAGCCCGGUUGUUAUAAUUAUAACAGAGAACAGAAAAAAAGUACCGCGUACUUGAUUGCACCGUUUUAGCGAAAAUACAUGCGACCGGUAAAAUUAAGGGAACGGCCAAACUCGAUUCCCUCAUUUAAAAAUGGAAAUGGUCGCCAAUUAAACUGCACGGGGCCAAUCACUGUGCACCUUCGCUCGUAAUUCAUUAUGGAAAUUAAUUCUCAAUCACACGCGAGGCGGACCCACACGAAAAUUCUUUCUACCCGCAUGCUUUUCUCUCGAUUGUAACCUCGAAAAGUCUCACAUUUUUAUUGAACGACACCAAAUUUAAUUGCGAGCACUGGGCGAGCUUUUUUAACAGACAUUUAAUUAAUGAACGACAAGCCACGAUAUUGCAUUAACCUUACGGUUUUGUCUGCCACGCCCUGAUAUAAUAGAGAUUAUUAUAUAAUAUAAAUUUUGCAAAUAUUACGUAUACAGAUAAUAUAGAUAAAUAAAUGCAAAUGCUGUUUUAUAUUUUCUCUUUGUAAUACCAUAUAAUUAUUCAAAGAAAAUAAUGAGUCGACAUGCUUAAAAUUCAACUGCGUAAUUUGCCGCGUACAUGUAACUUUUUUGGUGCUCAAAUAUAAUUACACUUCUUCAAAUACUGUUACGUUCUCGAAGAUAUUUAAAUGUAAUAUUUAUCUUAAUGACACACAGAAAUUCUUCCUUUAGCUGCUUUUAUCACAUUGCAAAACUUUCUUUAAAUUCAAAAAGUUAAAUUUAAGAAGUUAGAACAUAUGUGUGAUCAAGAAAAAAAAAGUUGAGAAUUAUAUACGAGAGUUUGCUACGAACAUUUAGAAGUUAGAAAGACUAUCGUAAAAGUUAGAAGAAGCAUAGAAACAAUAUCCACAUCCCAGCGGAGAGCUAAUAAACAGCAAACAAAGUAUCCAGUCCGACGAGAAAUCCGUGACAGUUAGUCAUGUAAGUUGUCAGCGUAUCAUUUCAUAUGGGUUGCAGGGUGGCAGUCGGUUAAUGGGUGGCGUUCACUCGCGCGGGUGCAAAACGCGCGCCGCUCGGCUGUGCGCCGAGUGUUUACCUAUCUAGGGAGAGGACCUAGGGCCUAGACGGUGGGCAGGGUAAAAUCAAUGCGCGGGUUAGACGAGCCAGAGCAGAACGACAGUGUGUAAGGGUGAAAGAGAAAGAGAGAGAACGGGAUGCUGCACGAGGGUGAGAGAGAAUGGUGAGAGAACGAGCGAUGAAGCGAGAAACCAAGAGAGAGACGAAGAGGAGAGAAGUAGAAUGAGAGGAACACGUACGAUAGCGGACGAUGGCGGAGAGGAGGACGAGCAAGAAAGAGCCUGCCGAGUCGGAGGGUGAGAGACGGGAAGAGAGAAAUGAGGAGACUAAGGGGGACAAGAGGGCGAAGCGAGAGAGUGAGCUGUUGGAUAGGCUGCUCGUAGUGGUGUAGGUUGUAGGUUCUAGCUACGGUAAGGAUAGGGCGGAGGUAUCGGUAGGCGGGUAGGUAGGUAACGGGAAGGGACUGGACGAGAGGAAAAAGGGAGGAUGGUGCGAGAGAUGCGGAGCAGAAGGGCGCAGGAUUGUCGUCGAGCAGUUCGUCCGUCGUCGUAGUCGUUGUCCCCGUCGUCGAAGGGUGGCCUCGACGCUUUGUGAGAAGGGACGGAAAGCGCGGAGAGCCAAGCGGCCUGACUACAGCCGCUCUAGAGAGCGGUUCUCUGAAGGGUGCCGUUCUGACACACUGCUCCAUAUUCCAACCGGCCGACGCACACCGACACACUGACACCCCAACGAACGACCCACCCUCUUUCCUCCUUCCAUCCUCCGCUUCGGCUUUCACCCUCAACGCGAGACCACUGCCGCCGUUACCGUUGCAAUUCAGACACCGUCCACGGACGGUGGUGAUCGCCGAUGCAUGUGACGCAGUACUCGUAAUGCCCGCGGCGACCCGAGGGAUGCUGUUUCUGUUUCGUUAGGCAUAACUUCCAUCGACAACUAGAAGAAGACAUGGCCAGAUAAAACGUGAGAGACGGCUGUUUCUGUCCUUAUUGGGUCAACCGAUAUAUGCACAUCGACGUUUAAGAGGCCGCAGAUAUCGAGGCAACCUCGCUUGCUCGAAUCACAAGAGCUUACAGUUUCCAGAUAAACACUCCACUGAUGGUUUUCAAUGUGCUCGUAUAUCGAUUUCAACGUCUUGUCGCCCCCGACAACGUUAUCCAACUAGCAGAAACUAACGGUGGAUGCCUUCGAUCCUCGAACUACUCUAGAACGUGGACUCGAUAGUGGCAAGAUAACUGCGAUGGCGUCUUGCGGCUCGUUCCGGAGAAUUCAUCGUCAUCGCUGUGUUAAUUACGCGGUAUCGAGUGUUUAAUUAAUUAGUGCAUUGAUUACCACGUCAUGCACGCAUAAUGAUCAUGCUUGUUCCGCCGAGAUCAUGCGUGUAUUAGGUGCAUACUUGCGGUCCACUCAGUAAUAGACUUGUAUUAAUGAAUUAUUUGAUUAAGACAACAUAUUCCUUUUUUCUACCUUUUAUAGAUUCAAAAUAAAUUUGUUUUGGUAUUAGUCACAAAUAAAAAACUUUGAUUAUAUAAAUUAU